Molecule: small RNA, 28 nt
Filed under: Bombyx mori (domestic silkworm)
Lineage: Eukaryota; Metazoa; Arthropoda; Insecta; Lepidoptera; Bombycidae
Description: ovarian small RNA-14485
Source: RNAcentral
CGGCGUUAUCCUUACUUCCUUGUGCCAU